RNAcentral lists this ribosomal RNA (253 nucleotides) under uncultured bacterium. RNAcentral describes it as "partial 16S ribosomal RNA". It matches the Rfam family "Bacterial small subunit ribosomal RNA", at positions 524 to 776 of the family's 1533-position model. The record is from RNAcentral.
UACGAAGGGGGCUAGCGUUGCUCGGAAUCACUGGGCGUAAAGCGCACGUAGGCGGCUUGUUAAGUCAGGGGUGAAAUCCUGGAGCUCAACUCCAGAACUGCCUUUGAUACUGGCGAUCUUGAGUUCGGGAGAGGUGAGUGGAACUGCGAGUGUAGAGGUGAAAUUCGUAGAUAUUCGCAAGAACACCAGUGGCGAAGGCGGCUCACUGGCCCGGUACUGACGCUGAGGUGCGAAAGCGUGGGGAGCAAACAGG